GACCUCGGAUCAGGUAGGGAUACCCGCUGAACUUAAGCAUAUCAAUAAGCGGAGGAAAAGAAACCAACAGGGAUUGCCUCAGUAACGGCGAGUGAAGCGGCAAAAGCUCAAAUUUGAAAUCUGGCUCUUUCAGGGUCCGAGUUGUAAUUUGUAGAAGAUGCUUCGGGUGUGGUCCCGGUCUAAGUUCCUUGGAACAGGACGUCAUAGAGGGUGAGAAUCCCGUAUGUGACUGGGUACCUACGCUCAUGUGAAGCUCUUUCGACGAGUCGAGUUGUUUGGGAAUGCAGCUCAAAAUGGGUGGUAAAUUUCAUCUAAAGCUAAAUAUUGGCCAGAGACCGAUAGCGCACAAGUAGAGUGAUCGAAAGAUGAAAAGCACUUUGGAAAGAGAGUUAAACAGUACGUGAAAUUGUUGAAAGGGAAGCGCUUGCAAUCAG
Molecule: ribosomal RNA, 434 nt
Filed under: uncultured fungus
Lineage: Eukaryota; Fungi
Description: eukaryotic LSU rRNA
Rfam family: Eukaryotic large subunit ribosomal RNA
Source: RNAcentral